UAUAAAUGUAUUGUUUCUCUUAUUGAAAAAUUAAGCAUAUCAGUUGUGAAACUCUGAUUGCUUCCUUGCUGCACGUUUGUGAGCAAGUAAAUUGUUUUUGUUUCUUCCUCCUUUGUUUUCUGUUUUGUUCUUUUUCUAAAAGCUGCUGCCAUUGUUCUUUCUUUUUCUUUUUUCUGCCUGUUAAUCGAGAGCUUAUGCUCUUGAUGCUUUGUGUUUCUGCUUGCUGUUUGAAGAGCUUAUGCUCUUAGUGUUUCAUUGUUCGGUUGUUGCUGCCAUUGUUCCAACAACUUCAGGCUAGGAUGAGAACCCAGCAGCAAGUAUGGUAACGGAAGAGAGUAGAGAGGUCGAAACACAGGGCCAAUAUAUUAAUGGAAUGUGCUCAGAUCAUCAUGUCUCACAGGACUUUAUAAGUGGGAUCAUGAAGAUUGUUCCCUCAGAUCUUGAUAAUGAUGCUGAUUAUUGCCUUUUAUCGGAUCCUAGUGUUAGCAUCACCGACAUAUGGCGAACCGAAUGUAUAUAUCCUCUCUAUGGAGACACACUCAGAUACAUUAAACUAUUUUCUUUAGCUCAUUAUUUUGCAUAUUCCCGACUCUUUCGACUAUAUAGCUGGCAUCGAAUUGAACAAUUUUGAUACACUUCAAUACACUGGCACGGCUGCUGGUAGCACGACACAGCCCCAAACGCCUCCAUUAAAUGCGGCUGAAAUACCGCCUCCAGGUAAUUCAACCGGCAGGUAAAGAGUCAUUGGCUUUAUAUUUCCCGUUGAGAUCGUUCCUUAUACUUUGAAUACUUCGAAUAGGAAGUAGGUAGCACAAAUGCACAAUCAUUGUACAGUUAAUACAAAUGAUCUAACAUAGGUAAGGUCAUAAUAUUUUCACUGGCAUAAAGACAUCAUGUGAUGUCAAACAAAUGAUCUGAUGGUACCUUGUUUUUACUGUAUUGUGCUAUAAAGUUUUUUUCUUUUUGUUUUGCAAAUAUUGAAAUUCAAGUUUUAGAGGUGAUUUUGGAUAGGAUCGUAA
Long non-coding RNA from Gossypium raimondii (Peruvian cotton), 1019 nucleotides. RefSeq lists it as uncharacterized. The transcript is spliced from 2 exons. NCBI's taxonomy places the organism in Eukaryota, Viridiplantae, Streptophyta, Magnoliopsida, Malvales, Malvaceae. The record is from RefSeq and is a predicted model, not a curated record.